GAUUAAUCAUUGUUAGAUAAUUUGAUUUUUGUUAUUUUAAAAAAAAUCUUUAUAAUUUUAAAAGUUAGCAUCGACAAAUAUUUAAAUAAUUAACAUAGUAUUACAACAUUAAAUUAUAUCUAUUUAUUUAAUAUUAUCUAUAAAUCCAAUGGAUCAUCAAUUGUUUAAAUCCAAUUAUUGAUAGUCGAAUAAAAAUAUCUGGUAGUCCCAAAAUUUAAAUGAUAAUAUUAGAGAUUAAAUAUAAAAUAACUUUCUAGUAAUAGGUCCAUAAGUCAUUUUUAAAAAAAAAUCACACAUGAAUCAAGGUUUUGAUUUCUUUGUUAAUAUAUAAGAUGGAUGACCAAGUAAAGAACCGAUAUAAUUCCAUGUUUGCGAGAAUUUGUUUCCCGGCUUGGACCAACAAAACAAAUCUUCAACAAGAUAUGCUAUUUUACAAAAUACAUUAUCCUUUGCAAAAUAAGAUACAUUAUCCUUCAAUAUAUAUUAAUAUAUAUGUUCUCAUUAUUUAUCCCACGUUUUAUUCAGUUAUUUAUUUAGCUAUUCUUUUAGCACAUCAUGCAUAUUAAAAAUAUUUUUAGUCUGUACAUAUAACCGUUGGAGUUGUUUUAGUGGGAACCCCAAAAAUAAUUCAUUCCACUCAAUUAUAUUCCACUAAAUCACUUUCAGCUGUAACCCCAUUUCUUUUAUAUGUAAUGGUGCCUCUGGCCCAAACUUUCACUUACUUUAAAAAAUUUCCAGAUCAGCAACUUGUAGGUUUUAGAUACCAUUGGUAUUGCUAAAAAAAAAAAAUACCAUUGGUCAUUUCAUGAAUUCAUAAAGAGCAGUUUUCUUCAUACGUAAUUUCAUAUUCAAAUUAGUGGUGGAUAUAUAAAAAAAAAUAUCCAAAUUUUAAGAGGUAUUUGUGAUCUGAUAUGUGUGGUCCGAAUAAUCAUUUAUUCGAUCCGAUCUACAAUUAUCCAGAUAUUUAGUGUUUAGAUAUUCAAUUUUUUUAUAUAGUUAAUCGCAUAUCUAAUUUGAUCCGCACAAAUAAAAUUUAUUUAUUUUUGAAAAAGAAGUAAAAAAGUAAAAUCAAAGAUAAUAUAAAAUAAGAAUAUUUUAUUACAAAAUAAAUAAUUAUAUAUACUAUUAAGGAAAAAUC
Long non-coding RNA from Brassica rapa (field mustard), 1138 nucleotides. RefSeq lists it as uncharacterized. The record is from RefSeq and is a predicted model, not a curated record. NCBI's taxonomy places the organism in Eukaryota, Viridiplantae, Streptophyta, Magnoliopsida, Brassicales, Brassicaceae.